Molecule: long non-coding RNA, 679 nt
Organism: Clupea harengus (Atlantic herring)
Lineage: Eukaryota; Metazoa; Chordata; Actinopteri; Clupeiformes; Clupeidae
Source: Ensembl
GUGUGUAGGGGUGUGUGGAGGUGUGGAGGUGUGUAGUGGAGGUGGUGUAGUGGUGUGUGGAGGUGGUGUAGUGGUGUGUGGAGGCGUGUGGAGGUGUUGUAGUGGGGUGUGGAGGUGUGUAGUGGUGUGUGGAGGUGUGUGGUGGGGUGUGGAGGUGGUGUAGGGGUGUGUGGAGGUGUGUAGUGGAGGUGUGUAGUGGUGUGUGGAGGUGGUGUAGUGGUGUGUGGAGGUGGUGUAGUGGAGGUGGUGUAGUGGUGUGUGGAGGCGUGUGGAGGUGGUGUAGUGGUGUGUGGAGGCGUGUGGAGGUGGUGUAGUGGUGUGUGGAGGCGUGUGGAGGUGGUGUAGUGGUGUGUGGAGGCGUGUGGAGGUGUUGUAGUGGUGUGUGGAGGUGGUGUAGUGGGGUGUGGAGGCGUGUGGAGGUGGUGUAGUGGGGUGUAGUGGUGUGUGGAGGUGGUGUAGUGGUGUGUGGAGGUGGUGUAGUGGUGUGUGGAGGUGUGUGGAGGUGUGUGGUGGGGUGUGGUGGUGUAGUGGGGUGUGGGUGUGGAGGGAUAAGAUGAGAUGAGUUCUGUUCUGAUGAGAUGAGAUCUGUUCAGAUGAGAUGAAAUGAGUGGGGAGCGGACAGAUGCAUCUCCUGCAGGGACAUCUCUCUGGAAAAAAUAAAUCAAUUGGCAAAUGUUAC